UGGGGAAUAUUGGACAAUGGGCGAAAGCCUGACCCAGCAACGCCGCGUGUGGGAUGAAGGCCAUCGGGUCGUAAACCACUGUCAGGAGGAAAGAAAAGUCGGCCGGAUAAUACUCGGUCGACCUGACGGUACCUCCAAAGGAAGCACCGGCUAACUACGUGCCAGCAGCCGCGGUAAUACGUAGGGUGCGAGCGUUAAUCGGAAUUACUGGGCGUAAAGCGUGCGCAGGCGGUUUUGUAAGUCAGAUGUGAAAUCCCCGGGCUCAACCUGGGAACUGCGUUUGAAACUACAAGGCUAGAGUGUGGCAGAGGGGGGUGGAAUUCCACGUGUAGCAGUGAAAUGCGUAGAGAUGUGGAGGAACACCGAUGGCGAAGGCAGCCCCCUGGGUUAACACUGACGCUCAGGCACGAAAGCGUGGGGAGCAAACAGGAUUAGAUACCCCUGUAGUCCCUGAGCGGGCUGGCAAGGCGCAU
This 473-nucleotide ribosomal RNA is filed under the name uncultured bacterium. RNAcentral's name for it is "bacterial SSU rRNA". It matches the Rfam family "Bacterial small subunit ribosomal RNA", at positions 355 to 825 of the family's 1533-position model. The record is from RNAcentral.